RNAcentral lists this ribosomal RNA (284 nucleotides) under uncultured Clostridia bacterium. RNAcentral describes it as "partial 16S ribosomal RNA". It matches the Rfam family "Bacterial small subunit ribosomal RNA", at positions 58 to 339 of the family's 1533-position model. The record is from RNAcentral. Lineage: Bacteria; Bacillati; Bacillota; Clostridia.
CAAGUCGAACGGAGAAUUUUAUUUCGGUAGAAUUCUUAGUGGCGAACGGGUGAGUAACGCGUAGGCAACCUGCCGAUAACUCGGGGAUAGCCUUUCGAAAGAAAGAUUAAUACCCGAUGGUAUAAUCAGACCGCAUGGGGCAGGGGUCAAAGGAGGAAUCCGGAUAAAGAUGGGCUCGCGUCCGAUUAGCUAGUUGGUGAGAUAACAGCCCACCAAGGCGACGAUCGGUAGCCGACCUGAGAGGGUGAUCGGCCACAUUGGAACUGAGAGACGGUCCAGACUCC